Molecule: ribosomal RNA, 300 nt
Filed under: uncultured Lactobacillus sp.
Lineage: Bacteria; Bacillati; Bacillota; Bacilli; Lactobacillales; Lactobacillaceae
Description: bacterial SSU rRNA
Rfam family: Bacterial small subunit ribosomal RNA
Source: RNAcentral
ACAAAACCCGGGCCUGCAGCCGCGAUAAUACGGAGGGUGCAAGCGUUAAACGGAAUUACUUGGCGUAAAGCGUGCGCAGGCGGCUUAUUAAGUCAGAUGUGAAAUCCCUAGGCUCAACCGAGGAACUGCAUUUGAAACUAAGAAACUAGAGUAUCGUAGAGGGAGGUAGAAUUCCAGGUGUAGCGGUGAAAUGCGUAGAUAUCUGGAGGAAUACCAGUGGCGAAGGCGACCUCCUGGACGAAAACUGACGCUCAAGCACGAAAGCAUGGGGAGCAAACAGGAUUAGAUACCCGUGUAGUC